AUAUCACCUCUUGUCGAAACUCAGAGUUAGGAAUGGCCAUUACUAUGCUGAUGCUUUCUGACUGAGCUCCUCUCUACCCUAAUACAAAGGACUCUCACAGUUAGUCAUCCUGGCUGGGAUCCUGGGUCUCCACAAAAAAGGAUGUCUCUGGAACCUGCUCAACCACAUUCCAGUGGGAAGGAGAGAGCCCUUCUGCAUGCCCCCAAGACUCAAAUCCUUGAAGCUCCUUCAGGACUUCAGAACAUGUCGGAGCCCUCUAAAUUUAACCUGAAAGACUGGUUCAGGCCAUGACGGGAAGCGGGAGUUUGGACAUGCCUCAGUAUGCCCUCCUCUCUUUUGGAAUUCAGGAAAAGCCAACCAGCAUUUCACAUCAACACAGAACUUAAGCCUGCUAUCUGGAGACUUCGUCUGCAAGAUAAAGCUCUGGUCUCCACAAACUUUUUUUUUUUUUUUUUCCGAGACAGAGUCUCACACUAUUGCCUAGGCUGGAGUGCAAUGGGGUGAUCUCAGCUCACUGCAACCUCUGCCUCCCGGGUUCAAGCAAUUCUCCCACCUCAGCCUCCUGAGUAGCUGCGACCACAGGUACCCACUACCACACCCUGUUAAUUUUUUUUGCAUUUUUAGUAGAGAUGGGGUUUCACUAUGUUGGUCAGGCUGGUCUCAAACUCCUGACAUCGUGAUCCGCCUGCCUCAGCCUCCCAAAGUGCUGGGAUUACAGGCCUGAGCCACUGGGCCUGGCCCUAUUGUUAAUAAUUCUUUCAACCAAUUGCCAAUCAGAAAAUUUUUAAAUCUACCUAUAACCCUAUAAACUGGAAACACCCACCUCCCCAACAAGUUGUCCCAAUGUUGGAAGUAAAUGCUCAAUGCCACCAAGUGAAAAUAGCACUCAGGCAAAAGUUUUCUCAGCAAGGCAAUUUACUUCUAUACAAAGGUGCAUCUCGCAGAUGGAGCAAAGGCAAGAGCACACUGGACAAGGGAGGGGAAGGGGGUCUUAUUCCUAAUGCAGCUAGUCCCUACUGCUGUGUCUUUCCCCUAUUGGCUAGGGUUGGACCAUACAGUCUAAGCUAAUUCCAAUUGGCUAUUUUAAAGAGAGUGGGGGUAAGAGCCAGAAUGGUGGGGUGAGUAUUUUCAGCGGGAAGGAUGGUUACAGAGCAGGUGACUAAGGAUGACUAGGGACAGAGCAGGUGAUAGAGGAUAGGAGGGGAUUGUUUACUGAAACUAGGGGCAAGGAGACAUAAAGAAUGAGGAAGUUAAACUUUAAAAUAGAGAACAAAGAACAGGGGAGCUGAGCGUACUGAUACAUUGGUUCUUUGGAGAGGAUCUCAGAACUCAUUGUACUUAACAAUUUUCUCCCUCCUGAAUUUUAAAGGAAGUUAACAGGCUAAAACCUUUGAGGAGGAAUUUAUUAUAUCCUGCACCAGUUUUCCAGACUGGACCAAUAUAUAUCUUAAAUAUAUUUGACUGAUGUCUCAUGUCUCCCUAAAAUAUAUAAAACCAAGCUUCACCCUGACCACCUUGGGCAUAAGUUCUCAGGAUCUCCUGAUGGCUAUGUCAUGGACCAUGGUCACUCAUAUUUGGCCCAGAAUAAAUCUCUUCAAAUAUUUUACAGAGUUUGACUAUUUUUGAGGCCUCUGCAGUAUUUUCUACAGUUCAAUGCUUUAGUUUACCACAGGUGUUUUUUUCCUUUUUUUUUUUGAGACAGAGCCUUGCUCUGUCACCCAGGCUGGAGCGCAGUGCCACAAUCUUGGCUCACUGCAACAUCCACCUCCCAGAUUCAAGUGAUCUCCUGUCUCAGCCUCCCGAGUAGCUGCGAUUAGAGACACCCCCCCACCAUGCCUGGCUAAUUUUUGUAUUUUUAGUAGAGAUGGGGUUUCACCAUGUUGGCCAGGCUGGUCUUGAACUCCUGACCACAAGUGAUCCACCUGUCUUGGCCUCCCUAAGUGAUGGGAUUACAGGUGUGAGCCACUGCACCUGGCUGAGCCCUCCUGUUUUGUUCUUUUUCAAUAUUGUAAUGGCUAUUCAGAGUCCCUUAAGAGUCCAUAUAAAUUCUAGGAUGAAUUUUUCUACUUCUGCGAAAAAUGUUGUUGGGAUUUUGUUAGAGCUUACAAUGAAUCUGUUGACCUCUUUGGGUAGUAUUAACAUCUAAACAAUAUUGUCUUCCAAUCCAUGAACACAGUAUGUCUUUCCAUUUAUUGAUGUCUUCUUUAGUUUCUUUCAGCAACAUUUUGUAGUUUUCAGGAUACAAGUCUUUCACCUCCUCGGUUAAGAGGCACUAACAAUUUAAAGCUGGUUCUUGUCCACAGUAGUUCCCUACAGCAAAUGUGAAACACAACUCAUGUUGCAGUUUAAAGGUACCGAGUACAGCCCUGGCUGAGAAACUCUGUAAAAGGAGGAAAAAAAAACUUCCCCAGCCCCAGCAACCAAUACCUAAAAGAUUUGUAAGCAGAAAUUUUCAUUCCUGUAAUUUAUUCAUUCUCUCAGCUGCACCUGUUUGUUAAGGCCACAGGGGCUGUCAUCAACUAAGAGCUAUUCCGGUAAAGCAAACAAACAAACAAACAAAAAACCCUGGCUCUAUUUUCAGCAGCUACCCAGCUCUGUGGGUGCCAAGUCCAUGACCCCGCAUGACUUUUGUAACCCAAAGCCAAAGGCCGGAAUUUAGGCUCAGGCAACACAAUCUCUGGGUGUUAUUUUGCCCCUUAAAUUGCACUCUUUGUACAACAUUUCUGGCCCCAUGCAAUAACCCAGAAAUAGACACAAGAAUUAGGCAGAUGGAGAUAGAAACAGCGCCUUAAUUACUGAUGAAGCUGUUAGAGAAUGAGGUUCCUUCUCUCCGAGCCAUGUGGGCUUAUGAAUAUUUCACCCCACCACUGGACAGAUUAUCCAUCCCUGGAGCAGGAACCCUGGACAACUGCGUGCCUCUCCAACAGGGCUUGUCUCUCUGACACCUGCAGCUUGAAGGAGCAGAACUAAAUACGUGCUCUCCUGUAUGUAGGUAGAUCCUAAGGAAAGUUGAGAAGAAAGGGCUGAGCUAGGCAUGAUUCCACUCCUUCAAAGAUUAACAGAUACAUUUCACCCCCUCCCUGCAGGAGGCUGGGAGCUUUGCUCCCAUAAAAGUUCCAGCACAUAGAAACAAGAAAAAGCAAAAUAAGUGUUUCCUCCUAUAUAAAGCAAUUUAAAACCUUAAUUUACACCCAUACAUUUGCUCCUUACAAGCAAAGAAUAAAUUUCUUUCAAAUGCUUCGGGAUCAUUUGUAAAAAUAUAUCAAGCACUAAUCUACAAAGAAAAUCCCAAUAAGAUUUUUUUAAAGUAAUUAUAGAAGCUGCCUUCUAUGACCAUACUGCAAUAGAGCUGUAACUUAACAAUAUAAGGAUGAUCAAUUUUUUGCUCAUUUUCUAUUUUAAAUUAGGUUUUAAAAUAUGAAGUGUGCAGUUUAAUUAAUGUUUACUUACUUAUCCACCACAUAACUACCACUUGAUGAAGAUACGGAAUGUUUCCAGCACUCCAGACAGCUCCCUUUUAUUCCCAUCCGGUCCAUAUUCACUGUAUAUGCUUUCUAUGGAUGCUGCAAUAAAUUACCACAAAUGUAGUGGCUUAAAACAAUACACACUUAUUGUCUCACAGUUCUGUAGGUGAGAAGUCUAGGUAAAGCUCAUCUGGGUUCCCAAUCUUAUCUUGGCCUUUUUUUUUUUUUUUUUUUUGAGAUGGGGGUCUCGCCACAUUGCCCAGGCUGGUCUCAAACUCCUGGGCUCAAGCAAUCCCUCUGUCUUGGUCUCCCAAAGUGGUGGGAUCACAGGAAUGAGCCACCAUGCCCAACCUUGUCUUAGCUUCUGAUGGGGCCAAAAUCAAGGUGUUGGAUGACCUGGGCUAUUGUCUGGAUACUCCAGGGGAGAAACUGCUUCUAGGUGCCUUCAUGUCAUUGAUAGAACUCACUACUUCUCAUGAUUUCCAGAACAAUGACUCAAGUCCUUAUCACACUUUGAGACUUCUGACUUCCUCUUCUGCCGCAUCUCUCUACCUCCAGCCACGGAAUGUUCUCUGCUUCUAAGGGCCCGUAUGGUUAGAUUAGUCCCAUCCAGAUAAUCUCUGUCUUUUAAUGUCAACUCAUUAGUAACUUUAAUUACAUCUGCAAUGUCCCUCUUGCCAGGUAACAUAGCAUAUUUAUAGUUUCUAGGGAUUAAGAUGGGACAUUCUGGGAAACUGUUAUUCUGCCUGCCAUAUCCACUCUUCUGAUUUGUCACCAUUGAUUAGUUUUCCUUGUCCUUGAAAUUCAUAUAGAUAAAAUCAUACAGUACUCUUUUGUCCUCAGAGAUAUAUCUGUGAAAUUCAUCUGUGUGGUUAUGUGUAGCUUUAGUCAAUUAUUUUUUACUGCAGUGAAAUUCCGUUAUAUACCAAAAUGCAUUCUUCAUUCUAAUGAUGAACAUGCUUGAGGCUAUUAUAAAUAAAGCUGUUAUGUAUAUCCCUGUUAA
Molecule: long non-coding RNA, 4467 nt
Organism: Pan troglodytes (chimpanzee)
Lineage: Eukaryota; Metazoa; Chordata; Mammalia; Primates; Hominidae
Exons: 3
Source: RefSeq, a predicted model, not a curated record